CGCUCCCCUCGCUCCACCUCCCGCGUAGCCUGCGGGCCCCUGGCGGCCCAGGGCAUGGGGCAGAGACGCCAUGCCGGCUGAUACACACGCCCGGAGGAGGUGCGGCCGGCGGGGGACAGGGAAAGAGAUCACAGCGAAGACCCAGAAGAAACAAAAGGCAAGCGAAUGUAAGAGCUUCACCACCUUCCCACUCCAGGACGGUGGACAACAAGAGGUUUGAAAGCUGUGAUGUCCUCACUGUCUUCCGUCCCUCUCACGGAAUGAAAAGUCGUUUUUGCCAGAAUAUUAUACCUGCAAGAUCUCACGGGGAG
RNAcentral lists this long non-coding RNA (311 nucleotides) under Homo sapiens (human). RNAcentral describes it as "non-protein coding lnc-C5orf63-1:1". The record is from RNAcentral. Lineage: Eukaryota; Metazoa; Chordata; Mammalia; Primates; Hominidae.